RNAcentral lists this ribosomal RNA (253 nucleotides) under uncultured bacterium. Its description in RNAcentral is "partial 16S ribosomal RNA". It matches the Rfam family "Bacterial small subunit ribosomal RNA", at positions 524 to 776 of the family's 1533-position model. The record is from RNAcentral.
UACGUAGGGUGCAAGCGUUAAUCGGAAUUACUGGGCGUAAAGCGUGCGCAGGCGGUUAUGUAAGACAGGUGUGAAAUCCCCGGGCUUAACCUGGGAACUGCAUUUGUGACUGCAUAGCUAGAGUACGGUAGAGGGGGGUGGAAUUCCGCGUGUAGCAGUGAAAUGCGUAGAUAUGCGGAGGAACACCGAUGGCGAAGGCAAUCCCCUGGACCUGUACUGACGCUCAUGCACGAAAGCGUGGGGAGCAAACAGG